GUGCUCUUCGGAGUGACUCGAGUGGCGAACGGGUGAGUAACACGUGGGUGAUCUGCCCUGCACUUUGGGAUAAGCCUGGGAAACUGGGUCUAAUACCGAAUACACCCUGCUGGUCGCAUGGCCUGGUGGGGGAAAGCUUUUGCGGUGUGGGAUGGGCCCGCGGCCUAUCAGCUUGUUGGUGGGGUGAUGGCCUACCAAGGCGACGACGGGUAGCCGGCCUGAGAGGGUGACCGGCCACACUGGGACUGAGAUACGGCCCAGACUCCUACGGGAGGCAGCAGUGGGGAAUAUUGCACAAUGGGCGCAAGCCUGAUGCAGCGACGCCGCGUGAGGGAUGACGGCCUUCGGGUUGUAAACCUCUUUCAAUAGGGACGAAGCGCAAGUGACGGUACCUAUAGAAGAAGCACCGGCCAACUACGUGCCAGCAGCCGCGGUAAUACGUAGGGUGCGAGCGUUGUCCGGAAUUACUGGGCGUAAAGAGCUCGUAGGUGGUUUGUCGCGUUGUUCGUGAAAACUCACAGCUUAACUGUGGGCGUGCGGGCGAUACGGGCAGACUUGAGUACUGCAGGGGAGACUGGAAUUCCUGGUGUAGCGGUGGAAUGCGCAGAUAUCAGGAGGAACACCGGUGGCGAAGGCGGGUCUCUGGGCAGUAACUGACGCUGAGGAGCGAAAGCGUGGGGAGCGAACAGGAUUAGAUACCCUGGUAGUCCACGCCGUAAACGGUGGGUACUAGGUGUGGGUUUCCUUCCUUGGGAUCCGUGCCGUAGCUAACGCAUUAAGUACCCCGCCUGGGGAGUACGGCCGCAAGGCUAAAACUCAAAGAAAUUGACGGGGGCCCGCACAAGCGGCGGAGCAUGUGGAUUAAUUCGAUGCAACGCGAAGAACCUUACCUGGGUUUGACAUGCACAGGACGCCGGCAGAGAUGUCGGUUCCCUUGUGGCCUGUGUGCAGGUGGUGCAUGGCUGUCGUCAGCUCGUGUCGUGAGAUGUUGGGUUAAGUCCCGCAACGAGCGCAACCCUUGUCUCAUGUUGCCAGCACGUCAUGGUGGGGACUCGUGAGAGACUGCCGGGGUCAACUCGGAGGAAGGUGGGGAUGACGUCAAGUCAUCAUGCCCCUUAUGUCCAGGGCUUCACACAUGCUACAAUGGCCGGUACAAAGGGCUGCGAUGCCGUGAGGUGGAGCGAAUCCUUUCAAAGCCGGUCUCAGUUCGGAUCGGGGUCUGCAACUCGACCCCGUGAAGUCGGAGUCGCUAGUAAUCGCAGAUCAGCAACGCUGCGGUGAAUACGUUCCCGGGCCUUGUACACACCGCCCGUCACGUCAUGAAAGUCGGUAACACCCGAAGCCGGU
This 1347-nucleotide ribosomal RNA is filed under the name Actinomycetes bacterium. RNAcentral describes it as "bacterial SSU rRNA". It matches the Rfam family "Bacterial small subunit ribosomal RNA", at positions 73 to 1431 of the family's 1533-position model. Lineage: Bacteria; Bacillati; Actinomycetota; Actinomycetes. The record is from RNAcentral.